Molecule: ribosomal RNA, 372 nt
Filed under: Streptococcus sanguinis
Lineage: Bacteria; Bacillati; Bacillota; Bacilli; Lactobacillales; Streptococcaceae
Description: bacterial SSU rRNA
Rfam family: Bacterial small subunit ribosomal RNA
Source: RNAcentral
GACGAACGCUGGCGGCGUGCUAAUACAUGCAAGUAGAACGCUGAAGAGAGGAGCUUGCUCUUCUUGGAUGAGUUCGAACGGGUGAGUAACGCGUAGGUAACCUGCCUGGUAGCGGGGGAUAACUAUUGGAAACGAUAGUAAUACCGCAUAAAAUUGAUUAUUCAUGAUAAUUAAUUGAAAGAUGCAAUUGCAUCACUACCAGAUGGACCUGCGUUGUAUUAGCUAGUGGUGGGGUAACGGCUCACCAAGGCGACGAUACAUAGCCGACCUGAGAGGGUGAUCGGCCACACUGGGACUGAGACACGGCCCAGACUCCUACGGGAGGCAGCAGUAGGGAAUCUUCGGCAAUGGGGGGAACCCUGACCGAGCAAC